RNAcentral lists this long non-coding RNA (200 nucleotides) under Elaeis guineensis (African oil palm). RNAcentral's name for it is "long non-coding RNA (EGUI_LNC080197)". Lineage: Eukaryota; Viridiplantae; Streptophyta; Magnoliopsida; Arecales; Arecaceae. The record is from RNAcentral.
AAAAUGAAAAACCACCAAUCAAAUUAUUUGGGAAAGCUCUCCAGACUAGACACACCUUGGAAAAAUUUUAAUGAGAAAUAAAAUCAAAUAAACAAGGUAAGUCUAGCCUAAAAAAAAAUUAAAGAAAAAAGACUGUCAAAGGACUAAUGGCACGUUUGGCACACAAACUGAGCCGAUCCAGUUUUAACUAAGCCAACCCA